GAUGAACGCUGGCGGCGUGCCUAAUACAUGCAAGUCGAGCGAACAGAUGAGGAGCUUGCUCCUCUGACGUUAGCGGCGGACGGGUGAGUAACACGUGGAUAACCUACUUAUAAAACUGGGAUAACUUCGGGAAACCGGAGCUAAUACCGGAUAAUAUAUUGAACCGCAUGGUUCAAUAGUGAAAGACGGUUUUGCUGUCACUUAUAGAUGGAUCCGCGCCGCAUUAGCUAGUUGGUAAGGUAACGGCUUACCAAGGCAACGAUGCGUAGCCGACCUGAGAGGGUGAUCGGCCACACUGGAACUGAGACACGGUCCAGACUCCUACGGGAGGCAGCAGUAGGGAAUCUUCCGCAAUGGGCGAAAGCCUGACGGAGCAACGCCGCGUGAGUGAUGAAGGUCUUCGGAUCGUAAAACUCUGUUAUUAGGGAAGAACAAAUGUGUAAGUAACUAUGCACGUCUUGACGGUACCUAAUCAGAAAGCCACGGCUAACUACGUG
This 497-nucleotide ribosomal RNA is filed under the name uncultured bacterium. RNAcentral's name for it is "partial 16S ribosomal RNA". It matches the Rfam family "Bacterial small subunit ribosomal RNA", at positions 28 to 507 of the family's 1533-position model. The record is from RNAcentral.